CUUGAGUUAUAAACAUAAGAGGUCCAGCCUGCCCAGUGAUUAAAUUUAACGGCCGCGGUAUCCUAACCGUGCGAAGGUAGCGUAAUCACUUGUUCUUUAAAUGAGGACUAGUAUGAAUGGCAUCACGAAGGUUUUACUGUCUCCUUUUUCUAAUCAGUGAAACUAAUCUUCCCGUGAAGAAGCGGGAAUAAACGAAUAAGACGAGAAGACCCUAUGGAGCUUUAAACACAAUAACAAAUACUACUUUAAACAAAAAUUUCUUAAUGACUUACUUCCUGGUAUUAUGAUUAUUAGUUUUAGGUUGGGGUGACCGCGGAGAAAAACACAACCUCCACAUUGAAUGAUAAAAUUCUAAGCAAAGAAUUACAUUUCCACGCAUCAAUACAUUGACAUCAAUUGACCCAAUUAUUUUGAUCAACGAAC
This 423-nucleotide ribosomal RNA is filed under the name Atelopus hoogmoedi group sp. ABGD cluster 1. RNAcentral describes it as "partial large subunit ribosomal RNA". It matches the Rfam family "Bacterial large subunit ribosomal RNA", at positions 1822 to 2457 of the family's 2925-position model. Lineage: Eukaryota; Metazoa; Chordata; Amphibia; Anura; Bufonidae. The record is from RNAcentral.